GACGAACGCUGGCGGCGUGCUUAACACAUGCAAGUCGAACGGAAAGACCCUGCUUUUGUGGGGUGCUCGAGUGGCGAACGGGUGAGUAACACGUGAGUAACCUGCCCUUGACUUUGGCAUAACUUCAGGAAACUGGGGCUAAUACCGGAUAGGAGCCCCUGCUGCAUGGUGGGGGUUGGAAAGUUUCGGCGGUUGGGGAUGGACUCGCGGCUUAUCAGCUUGUUGGUGGGGUAGUGGCUUACCAAGGCUUUGACGGGUAGCCGGCCUGAGAGGGUGACCGGCCACAUUGGGACUGAGAUACGGCCCAGACUCCUACGGGAGGCAGCAGUGGGGAAUAUUGCACAAUGGGCGGAAGCCUGAUGCAGCAACGCCGCGUGCGGGAUGACGGCCUUCGGGUUGUAAACCGCUUUCGCCUGUGACGAAGCGUGAGUGACGGUAAUGGGUAAAGAAGCACCGGCUAACUACGUG
RNAcentral lists this ribosomal RNA (468 nucleotides) under uncultured bacterium. RNAcentral describes it as "partial 16S ribosomal RNA". It matches the Rfam family "Bacterial small subunit ribosomal RNA", at positions 28 to 507 of the family's 1533-position model. The record is from RNAcentral.